GUUUUCUCUAUUCCCCAACUAAUUUUUGGAGAACUUUUUUUUUUUUUUUUUGGUGCUGCUCGUACAGCACCUAGCACACCAAGGGUCCUUCCCACUCAGGCUCCCAGUGCGUCCACAGUACAAAUAUUAUGUCUGCAAGGAGAAGGAGUUCUCAAGUGUUUUGUUGCUCAAAGCAGUAACAAGGAGUAGCUGUUAGUUUAGCUGGUGUCUAAACUAAUGUCUUAAUAACUCACGUUCAGGUUUUGAAACUAAUUGUCAAACUAGAACUGCAUAAAUUAGGGGUGCACACCAUUUACUUAGUUUCAUAAUUUCUUUCUUCCCUAGGUAUGUUUGUUUGCUUCUGUCCCUUGCCCAACUCUUCCCCCAAGCCUGCCUUUUUCUUUCCAAAGUAAAUAACAUUAUUGCUAAAUUUCACUUAUCUAGGGCAGCUGUAUUCUAUCAGCUCAAUACGUUUGUCUUCUAUACAGUUUUCUGUCCAUUAAACAGAAUCUUAAUGUGAGUCACAGCAGUUCAAUUUGGUGUUUCCUGGUUGGAAUAAGAAUCCUCAAAGUUUUGCAGCAGCUGUUCCACAUUAAACACAACUGCACUGGUGUUAAUUCCAGCAUUUUGUGUGUUGAAAAUGCUGCCAGGAAAGCAUGGAUAACAGUUUACAGAAGUCUCCCAGAAGAAGGGUGUGUGUGAGGAUGUGGGGAAAGCAGGGCCUAAGCAGCUCUGUAUCCUUCUUAAAAAACCUAUCUGUCCUGAUGAGCUUGGGGUGGAAUAAAGCCUUUGAAAAUCAGAAAUGUUUACUGAGGGAAACUCUGUUACUGAAGCCCAGUGGAAUGGUGACAUCAGGAGAGACCCUGCUGUCUCUGAUCUUCAAGUGCUUUGCAAGCAUGAUAUCAGCAGCAACAGACUGCACUGAUGCCUUCCUUGACAGCUCAGCCUUGCACAAAAAAACAGUGCCAUUUGUGGCUGCAAAUUCCAGCUUCCCUGCAUGGAGUCCUCAAGGGCUCAGCACCUCCCAUGAGCUUGGCCGCAUACAUGGAAAUGAGUUGGUCAGGAGAGGGGAGGCAAAGGCUGCUGAAGUCCUUCUGCAGAUAACACCCUUCAGUGCACUGAUGUGCACAGAGUCACCCCAGAAUGCAUACUGGCAGAAGACUCCUGGGCCAAGAAGACCGCAUGAGCAAAGCGGAAUAAGAGACAAUGAGAGAUGUGUGUCUCAGCAAGACUUCCACAGAGAAGCCUCAACAUGUGUGCAAGUGUGGUUUUGGACAACCAUAAAUAGAAACCAUACAGAUCUCCAUCUCUAG
Molecule: long non-coding RNA, 1292 nt
Filed under: Apteryx rowi (Okarito brown kiwi)
Lineage: Eukaryota; Metazoa; Chordata; Aves; Apterygiformes; Apterygidae
Description: lncRNA (ENSARWG00000005713.1)
Source: RNAcentral